This 410-nucleotide long non-coding RNA is filed under the name Phoenix dactylifera (date palm). RNAcentral's name for it is "long non-coding RNA (PDAC_LNC010389)". The record is from RNAcentral. Lineage: Eukaryota; Viridiplantae; Streptophyta; Magnoliopsida; Arecales; Arecaceae.
GGAUUAAUAUUAUAUUUGGGUUUGGCACAGAUUUUCAUAAAUUAGAGAUAAAAUGCACAUUAAGUACAAAUUUAACUAAAAAAGGAUCCCUUCCCAGAUCUGACCCGGUUGAAGAUCGGGUCGGGUCCGAGUCGGGUUUGGGUCCGAAUCGGGUCCAUUUCUUUUUUGCUUUUUGAAAAUAAUUUUGGGCAAAUCUAAAUUGGCUAUAUCAUAACUAUAAGGUGCUGGGUGACCCAUGACUUAAAAGAUUUGCAAUUGACCUCCAGUGAGAAUAGAUGACCCGUGACGAAUCUGUCUACAACCCAAAUUUCAUAUCACAUUAUUUAUUUUAUCUAUAUGACUGAUUGGACGGAACUUGGUGAUUCCCACUCUCACUUCAUCACAAAGAAAAAGAACUUUUUAACCUCCAA